CGGAUUGGAGUCUGNAACCCGACUCCAUGAAGCUGGAUUCGCUAGUAAUCGCGCAUCAGCCACGGCGCGGUGAAUACGUUCCCGGGCCUUGUACACACCGCCCGUCAAGCCAUGGAAGCCGGGAGUGCCUGAAGUACGCGACCGCAAGGAGCGUCCUAAGGUAAAACCGGUGACUGGGGCUAAGUCGUAACAAGGUAAC
Molecule: ribosomal RNA, 199 nt
Filed under: uncultured bacterium
Lineage: Bacteria
Description: partial 16S ribosomal RNA
Rfam family: Bacterial small subunit ribosomal RNA
Source: RNAcentral